Molecule: ribosomal RNA, 301 nt
Filed under: uncultured bacterium
Lineage: Bacteria
Description: partial 16S ribosomal RNA
Rfam family: Bacterial small subunit ribosomal RNA
Source: RNAcentral
CAGCCGCCGCGGGAAUACGAAGGGGGCUAGCGUUGUUCGGAUUUACUGGGCGUAAAGCGCACGUAGGCGGAUCGAUCAGUCAGGGGUGAAAUCCCAGAGCUCAACUCUGGAACUGCCUUUGAUACUGUCGAUCUGGAGUAUGGAAGAGGUGAGUGGAAUUCCGAGUGUAGAGGUGAAAUUCGUAGAUAUUCGGAGGAACACCAGUGGCGAAGGCGGCUCACUGGUCCAUUACUGACGCUGAGGUGCGAAAGCGUGGGGAGCAAACAGGAUUAGAUACCCGGGUAGUCCCUGUCUCUUAUAC